UUAAAUUGAAGAGUUUGAUCAUGGCUCAGAUUGAACGCUGGCGGCAGGCCUAACACAUGCAAGUCGAACGGUAACAGGAAACAGCUUGCUGUUUCGCUGACGAGUGGCGGACGGGUGAGUAAUGUCUGGGAAACUGCCUGAUGGAGGGGGAUAACUACUGGAAACGGUAGCUAAUACCGCAUAACGUCGCAAGACCAAAGAGGGGGACCCUCGGGCCUCUUGCCAUCGGAUGUGCCCAGAUGGGAUUAGCUAGUAGGUGGGGUAACGGCUCACCAAGGCGACGAUCCCUAGCUGGUCUGAGAGGAUGACCAGCCACACUGGAACUGAGACACGGUCCAGACUCCUACGGGAGGCAGCAGUGGGGAAUAUUGCACAAUGGGCGCAAGCCUGAUGCAGCCAUGC
RNAcentral lists this ribosomal RNA (402 nucleotides) under Escherichia coli. RNAcentral describes it as "bacterial SSU rRNA". It matches the Rfam family "Bacterial small subunit ribosomal RNA", at positions 1 to 397 of the family's 1533-position model. Lineage: Bacteria; Pseudomonadati; Pseudomonadota; Gammaproteobacteria; Enterobacterales; Enterobacteriaceae. The record is from RNAcentral.